RNAcentral lists this ribosomal RNA (253 nucleotides) under uncultured bacterium. Its description in RNAcentral is "partial 16S ribosomal RNA". It matches the Rfam family "Bacterial small subunit ribosomal RNA", at positions 524 to 776 of the family's 1533-position model. The record is from RNAcentral.
UACGUAGGGCGCAAGCGUUGUCCGGAAUUAUUGGGCGUAAAGAGCUCGUAGGCGGCUUGUCGCGUCGGAUGUGAAAGCCCGGGGCUUAACCCCGGGUCUGCAUUCGAUACGGGCAGGCUAGAGUUCGGUAGGGGAGAUCGGAAUUCCUGGUGUAGCGGUGAAAUGCGCAGAUAUCAGGAGGAACACCGGUGGCGAAGGCGGAUCUCUGGGCCGAUACUGACGCUGAGGAGCGAAAGCGUGGGGAGCAAACAGG